CUACGGGACGCUCCAGUGGGGAAUAUUGCGCAAUGGGCGAAAGCCUGACGCAGCAACGCCGUGUGAGGGAUGAAGGCUUUCGGGUCGUAAACCUCUGUCGGAAGGGAAGAACGGGCAUUGGUCUAAUAGGCCUUUGUUUUGACGGUACCUUUAGAGGAAGCACCGGCUAACUCCGUGCCAGCAGCCGCGGUAAUACGGAGGGUGCAAGCGUUAUUCGGAAUUACUGGGCGUAAAGCGCACGUAGGCGGCCUUGUAAGUCAGGGGUGAAAUCCCACGGCUCAACCGUGGAACUGCCUUUGAAACUGCAGGGCUUGAAUCCUGGAGAGGGUGGCGGAAUUCCUGGUGUAGGAGUGAAAUCCGUAGAUAUCAGGAGGAACACCGGUGGCGAAGGCGGCCACCUGGACAGGUAUUGACGCUGAGGUGCGAAAGUGUGGGGAGCAAACAGGAUUAGAUACCCCCGUAGUC
Molecule: ribosomal RNA, 465 nt
Filed under: uncultured bacterium
Lineage: Bacteria
Description: partial 16S ribosomal RNA
Rfam family: Bacterial small subunit ribosomal RNA
Source: RNAcentral